RNAcentral lists this ribosomal RNA (497 nucleotides) under uncultured bacterium. Its description in RNAcentral is "partial 16S ribosomal RNA". It matches the Rfam family "Bacterial small subunit ribosomal RNA", at positions 28 to 507 of the family's 1533-position model. The record is from RNAcentral.
GAUGAACGCUGGCGGCGUGCCUAAUACAUGCAAGUCGAGCGAACGGACGAGAAGCUUGCUUUUCUGACGUUAGCGGCGGACGGGUGAGUAACACGUGGAUAACCUACCUAUAAGACUGGGAUAACUUCGGGAAACCGGAGCUAAUACCGGAUAAUAUUUUGAACCGCAUGGUUCAAAAGUGAAAGACGGUCUUGCUGUCACUUAUAGAUGGAUCCGCGCUGCAUUAGCUAGUUGGUAAGGUAACGGCUUACCAAGGCAACGAUGCAUAGCCGACCUGAGAGGGUGAUCGGCCACACUGGAACGGAGACACGGUCCAGACUCCUACGGGAGGCAGCAGUAGGGAAUCUUCCGCAAUGGGCGAAAGCCUGACGGAGCAACGCCGCGUGAGUGAUGAAGGUCUUCGGAUCGUAAUACUCUGUUAUUAGGGAAGAACAUAUGUGUAAGUAACUGUGCACAUCUUGACGGUAACUAAUCAGAAAGCAACGGCUAACUACGUG